UGGCUUAGAUGGUAAAGCAUCUGCCUGCAAUGCAGGAGACCCAGGUUCGAUCCCUGG
Ovis aries (sheep) is the source of this 57-nucleotide transfer RNA. It matches the Rfam family "tRNA", at positions 8 to 63 of the family's 71-position model. Rfam says of the family: Transfer RNA (tRNA) molecules are approximately 80 nucleotides in length. Their secondary structure includes four short double-helical elements and three loops (D, anti-codon, and T loops). The record is from Rfam. Lineage: Eukaryota; Metazoa; Chordata; Mammalia; Artiodactyla; Bovidae.